This 268-nucleotide ribosomal RNA is filed under the name uncultured bacterium. Its description in RNAcentral is "partial 16S ribosomal RNA". It matches the Rfam family "Bacterial small subunit ribosomal RNA", at positions 524 to 788 of the family's 1533-position model. The record is from RNAcentral.
UACAGAGGUCCCAAGCGUUGUUCGGAUUCAUUGGGCGUAAAGGGUGCGUAGGCGGCGCGGUAAGUCGGGUGUGAAAUCUCGGGGCUUAACUCCGAAACUGCAUUCGAUACUGCCGUGCUUGAGGACUGGAGAGGAGACUGGAAUUUACGGUGUAGCGGUGAAAUGCGUAGAUAUCGUAAGGAAGACCAGUGGCGAAGGCGGGUCUCUGGACAGUUCCUGACGCUGAGGCACGAAGGCCAGGGGAGCAAACGGGAUUAGAACCGUACCU